This 26-nucleotide non-coding RNA is filed under the name Homo sapiens (human). The record is from RNAcentral. Lineage: Eukaryota; Metazoa; Chordata; Mammalia; Primates; Hominidae.
UGCUGUGCAGAUGGAUGACUGGAAGA